CGUUAGUUCAGUGGUAGAACACUAGCUUCCCAAGCUAGUUAUACGGGUUCGAUUCCCGCACGG
This 63-nucleotide transfer RNA is filed under the name bovine gut metagenome. It matches the Rfam family "tRNA", at positions 5 to 66 of the family's 71-position model. From Rfam's summary of the family: Transfer RNA (tRNA) molecules are approximately 80 nucleotides in length. The record is from RNAcentral.